Molecule: long non-coding RNA, 308 nt
Filed under: Anas platyrhynchos platyrhynchos (common mallard)
Lineage: Eukaryota; Metazoa; Chordata; Aves; Anseriformes; Anatidae
Description: lncRNA (ENSAPLG00000022955.1)
Source: RNAcentral
UGGAACAUGUUGGAUACCUCUGAGGUCUCUGCCAGUGUAGACAACUCCAUUGCCCAGUGUGGACAUGCCCUGUGACAGUGGGACACAUCCAAAUGCUUAUAUCAUCUCUUAUUCCCUGGAGUAUGCUGUGCCAUAAGCCUUCAAUUUAUCUGCUACUUCAAGAUUAGAUUUAGGCUGCAGAAGGCUGUUCUGUGUUUCACCUUUGUUGCUGCUUCACAAGUGCAGUGGGACAGCUUUCCCUUCCAGACCUGGCUCUCUUAUAGCGUAUUCCCAGGGUGCCACUUGAGGCGUGUCACAGAAAAGUCUCA